GAUGAAGAACGCAGCGAAAUGCGAUAAGUAAUGUGAAUUGCAGAAUUCAGUGAAUCAUCGAAUCUUUGAACGCACAUUGCGCCCGCCAGUAUUCUGGCGGGCAUGCCUGUCUGAGCGUCAUUUCAACCCUCAUGCCCCUAGGGCGUGGUGUUGGGGAUCGGCCAAAGCCCGCGAGGGACGGCCGGCCCCUAAAUCUAGUGGCGGACCCGUCGUGGCCUCCUCUGCGAAGUAGUGAUAUUCCGCAUCGGAGAGCGAUGAGCCCCUGCCGUUAAACCCCCAACUUUCCAAGGUUGACCUCAGAUCAGGUAGGAAUCCCCGCUGAACUUAAGCAUAUCAAUAAGCGGAGGA
This 348-nucleotide unclassified non-coding RNA is filed under the name soil metagenome. RNAcentral's name for it is "partial contains 5.8S ribosomal RNA, internal transcribed spacer 2, and large subunit ribosomal RNA". The stretch from base 1 to 120 matches the Rfam family "5.8S ribosomal RNA", at positions 35 to 154 of the family's 154-position model. The record is from RNAcentral.